CCUACGGGAGGCAGCAGUGGGGAAUAUUGGACAAUGGGGGGAACCCUGAUCCAGCGACGCCGCGUGAGUGAAGAAGUAUUUCGGUAUGUAAAGCUCUAUCAGCAGGGAAGAAAGAAAUGACGGUACCUGACUACGAAGCCCCGGCUAACUACGUGCCAGCAGCCGCGGUAAUACGUAGGGGGCAAGCGUUAUCCGGAUUUACUGGAUGUAAAGGGAGCGUAGACGGCGAUGCAAGUCUGAAGUGAAAGGCGGGGGCCCAACCCCCGGACUGCUUUGGAAACUGUAUGGCUGGAGUGCAGGAGAGGUAAGUGGAAUUCCUAGUGUAGCGGUGAAAUGCGUAGAUAUUAGGAGGAACACCAGUGGCGAAGGCGGCUUACUGGACUGUAACUGACGUUGAGGCUCGAAAGCGUGGGGAGCAAACAGGAUUAGAUACCCUGGUAGUC
This 443-nucleotide ribosomal RNA is filed under the name uncultured bacterium. RNAcentral's name for it is "partial 16S ribosomal RNA". It matches the Rfam family "Bacterial small subunit ribosomal RNA", at positions 338 to 795 of the family's 1533-position model. The record is from RNAcentral.